Molecule: long non-coding RNA, 641 nt
Organism: Acipenser ruthenus (sterlet)
Lineage: Eukaryota; Metazoa; Chordata; Actinopteri; Acipenseriformes; Acipenseridae
Exons: 3
Source: RefSeq, a predicted model, not a curated record
AGGGGCCCUGCAAGUAUAAAAAUGUUUGUUUUGCAGCAGGGACAGGGUAAAAAGCCUCCCUGCCAAGCUAAUUGUUUUUGUUUAAUUGUUUAAUUGUUUAAUUGUAUUAUUAUUUGCUAAUUGUUUUAUUGUUUUGGCAGGUGGCUCGUUAUUGUAAAUUAGAGCCAACUGCCAAUAUUUAAGGAGAACAGUCAGUCUGCUCGAGGACUCUACUGUGUGAAGAGCUUGACUGUGUGUCGUUCGUAUUGCAAAAAGUUGAAGAUGUUUAUUUGUGGAAGGCAGUUUGAGAUUAAAAGUGUGUGAGUCCUCGUGCACACCCCCUGCAGCUGUUGAAAGCCACCCAGCAACGAAACCCAAGCGCAUGGCCGUGAUCUUCUGAGGUGGCGAGUGCUCCUGCUGUAUCCUGCAGAAUCUGUGCCAGGACCGUAAGGAGGUGUUCAGGCAAGCAGAGGAACAGCUACCUCAGCCUCCAGCAAGAAUUGCACAACAGCGAUAUGAAGAGGGUCCUGCUAUUAGAGAUGCACGGCUAUCUUAAUUUUUGUAACCUGUGUACUUUUAUUUUGUAUCACAUUUUUGUUUCAUUAGCUUAUUUUGCAUCUCUUUAUACCAAAUAUAGCAUCCUCAUUUGCGCUGUACUUGUA